AUGGCCCACAUAUCAGAUAUUAAACUGAUAAGAACAGAUACUACACUUGAUCUUAGCCAAAAGGCCGAGAAAGGUAUGAGUUGUAGUGUCCCUCUCCCCCUCCUCUUAUAGCUUUGUCCACCGUCUCUCCGCUCUCGACCAGCGAGGUGGUACUAA
RNAcentral lists this ribosomal RNA (156 nucleotides) under Triticum aestivum (bread wheat). RNAcentral describes it as "partial small subunit ribosomal RNA". The record is from RNAcentral. Lineage: Eukaryota; Viridiplantae; Streptophyta; Magnoliopsida; Poales; Poaceae.